Molecule: long non-coding RNA, 218 nt
Organism: Bufo bufo (common toad)
Lineage: Eukaryota; Metazoa; Chordata; Amphibia; Anura; Bufonidae
Exons: 3
Source: RefSeq, a predicted model, not a curated record
AAACAUUUUAAAAUAGGAAUCCAAAGUCAGGUUUGGUACUGGCUGGUACCUCAGUACCAAAGCUCACUUUGGAUUCCUAUUUUUAAAUGUUUUAGAUAAGCAGAUAGGAAUACCAUAGUUAUUUACAGAAGUCUUGUGCAACUUCGGGCAACACAAGGUUUUCCUCCACGGAGCCAAUAGCUUUUAAUGCUGUAUGGAAACAACUUUCAAAUAAAGCG